Non-coding RNA from Taeniopygia guttata (zebra finch), 2184 nucleotides. NCBI's taxonomy places the organism in Eukaryota, Metazoa, Chordata, Aves, Passeriformes, Estrildidae. The record is from RefSeq and is a predicted model, not a curated record.
ACGGACACGGAGCUGGCACAAGGACACCAAUGUCACCUGGGUGUCACCUGGAGCCAUCACACAGAACUGGCACGGUGACAGAGAUGUGGCACAGGGACACGGAGCUGGGACAGUGACACGAGUGUGACACAGGGACACGGAGCUGAGACAGUGACACCGAUGUCACCUGGAGGUGUCACCUGGAUGUCACCUGGAGCCAUCACACGCAGCUGGCACGGUGACAGAGAUAUGACACAAGGACACAGAGCUGGGACAGUGACACGGAUGUCACCUGAGUGUCACCUGGAUGUGUCACACGGAGCUGGCACAAGGACACGGAUGUGACACGGGGAUAUGGCUGUCACCUGGGUGUGACACAGGGACAUGGAGCUGGCACAGGGACACUGGUGUCACCUGGAUGUGGCACACGGAGCUGGCACAAUGACAGAUGUGACACAGGGACAUGGAGCUGGGACAGUGACAUGGAUGUCACCUGGAUGUGGCACAGGGAUAGUGAUGUCACCCAAUGUCACCUGGAUGUCACCUGGAGAUGUCACACAGCUGGCACGGUGACAGAGAUGUGACACGGGGACACGGAGCUGAGACAGUGACACCGAUGUCACCUGGAGGUGUCACCUGGAUGUGGCACAAGGACACUGAUGUCACCUGGUGUCACCUGGAGCCGUCACACGGAACUGGCACGGUGACAGAGAUGUGACACAGGGACACGGAGCUGGGACAGGGACACGAUGUCACCUGGAGGUGUCACCCAGAGCUGGCACAGGACACAGCUGUGACGCUGGGACAGUGACACGGAUGUCACCUGGGUGUGGCACAAGGACACCGAUGUCACCUGGAGGUGUCACACAGCUGGCACGGUGACACAGGUGUGACACAGGGACACGGAGCUGGGACAGUGACAGAGAUGUCAGCAGGAUGUCACCUGGAUGUGGCACACAGAGCUGGCACAAGGACAUUGAUGUCACCUGAUGUCACCUGGAGCCGUCACCCGGAGCUGGCACAGUGACAGAGAUGUCACCUGGAUGUGAUACAAGGACACCGAUGUCACCUGGAGGUGUCACACAGAACUGGCACGGUGACAUGGGUGUGACACAGGGACACGGAGCUGGGACAGGGACACAGCUGUCACCUGAUGUCACCUGGAGGUGUCACCUGGAUGUGGCACAGGGACACCAAUGUCACCUGGAUGUCACCACGGUGUCACCUGGAGGUGUCACCCAGAGCUGGCACAGUGACAGAUGUGACACAAGGACACGGAGCUGGCACAGUGACACUGAUGUCACCUGGAUGUGUCACACAGCUGGCACGGUGACACGAGUGUGACGCAAGGACAUGGAUGUCACCUGGGUGUGACACAGGGACGCAGAGCUGGCACGGGGACAUGGAUGUCACCUGGAGAUGUCACCCGGAGCUGCUGUGCCCCAGUGUCAACCGAUGUCACCUGAUGUCACCUGGACCUGGCUUGGUGUCCCAAUGUCACCUGGAUGUCACCUGAUGUCACCCAGACCUGGCACGGUGACAGGAAUGUCACCCGGAGCUGGCUGUGCCCCGAUGUCACCCAAUGUCACCCGAUGUCACCCGGUGUCACCCAGAGCUGGCUGUGCCCCAGUGUCACCCGAUGCCACCUGAUGUCACCUGGACCUGGCCGGGUGCCCCAAUCUCACCUGGUGUCACCUGAAGUCACCCAGACCUGGCACGGUGCCAUGGCUGUCGCCUGGUGUCACCUGGAUCAGGCACAGUGACAGGGAUGUCACCUGGAGCUGGCAGUGCCCUGAUGUCACCUGGUGUCACCCAGACCUGGCACAGUGACAGGGAUGUCACCUGGAUGUCACCUGGUGUCACCCGAUGUCACCCGGACCUGGCACAGUGCCCCAAUGUCACCUGAUGUCACGUGGACCAGGCACAGUGACAGGGAUGUCACCCGGGGCUGGCUGUGCCCCGAUGUCACCUGGACCUGGCCAGGUGCCCCGAUGUCACCCGGUGUCACCCUGUGUCACCCGGAGCUGCUGUGCCCUGUUGUCACCGUUGUCACCUGAUGUCACCCAAUGUCACCCCGUGUCACCCGGGGCUGGCUGUGCCCCGAUGUCACCCAAUGUUACCCAAUGUCACCGAUGUCACCGGUGUCACACCCGAUGCGGAUCUGUGCCAAUGAAAUGUUCUAUGAAUUAAAAACAGCUGAGCUGG